GGUGGAUUCCCGAGUGGCCAAAGGGAGCAGACUGUAAAUCUGUUGCGGAACGCUUCGGAGGUUCGAAUCCUCCUCCCACCACCA
Molecule: transfer RNA, 84 nt
Filed under: Armatimonadota bacterium
Lineage: Bacteria; Bacillati; Armatimonadota
Description: tRNA-Tyr
Rfam family: tRNA
About the family: Transfer RNA (tRNA) molecules are approximately 80 nucleotides in length. Their secondary structure includes four short double-helical elements and three loops (D, anti-codon, and T loops). Further hydrogen bonds mediate the characteristic L-shaped molecular structure. tRNAs have two regions of fundamental functional importance: the anti-codon, which is responsible for specific mRNA codon recognition, and the 3' end, to which the tRNAs corresponding amino acid is attached (by aminoacyl-tRNA synthetases). tRNAs cope with the degeneracy of the genetic code in two manners: having more than one tRNA (with a specific anti-codon) for a particular amino acid; and 'wobble' base-pairing, i.e. permitting non-standard base-pairing at the 3rd anti-codon position.
Source: RNAcentral